Syngnathus acus (greater pipefish) is the source of this 617-nucleotide long non-coding RNA. RefSeq lists it as uncharacterized. Lineage: Eukaryota; Metazoa; Chordata; Actinopteri; Syngnathiformes; Syngnathidae. The transcript is spliced from 2 exons. The record is from RefSeq and is a predicted model, not a curated record.
GGCGCUGUCAGACCGCCAUUUUUGACUGUAUUUCAAUAUAAUAAAAAGUACUAAUUAGCUCGAGAUCAUAUGAACUGUCUGCAUUUCCCUGUAACUAGUGACGUUUUAUGCAACUCCAACUAACCACAUGUGGCUAAGGUGACAUGCUACCAUGCAAGUUAGCUGGUCGGGAAGAUGGCGUCGUGACGCAGAGUUCGAAAUGAACCAAGACUGAAACGAUGGUGGAGGGAACCAGAGCUGCUCAGCCCACUCCUCUAAAGUCCAUCUUGCAGCUGUGCUUGGGCCUCCGGAGGUAAACAUUUGAACUCCAGUGUGAAGUAUAAACUUUCUUCGCCUGUGUAUGAAUAUAUCCCAGUCAGCAUCCCUGCAUUAGAUGAUUGUGUAACAACUACUGUACAAUUUCUUAUUUUCAAUUGUAUACAUCCAUUUUAAGUUUAGAAUUCCAGAAACAGCCCUUAACCUAAUCUAAAUAAUAUAAGGGGGGGGGGGGGGGGUCUCCUGUGGUGUUGUGUGAUAGUAGAAGCCAGAAUCAAAAUGUUUCUCAUUUUGACAAGUUUACAAAUUGCAUCAGAGAACGUAAACUCUCAAUUGUAUAAAUACAGUAAACAUUCAAUGAA